Molecule: ribosomal RNA, 477 nt
Filed under: uncultured bacterium
Lineage: Bacteria
Description: bacterial SSU rRNA
Rfam family: Bacterial small subunit ribosomal RNA
Source: RNAcentral
UUCGCAAUGCCCGAAAGGGUGACGAAGCGACGCCGCGUGUGGGAAGAAGGCCUUCGGGUUGUAAACCACUGUCGGGAGUUAAGAAAUGCAAGGAUAUUAAUAGUGUCUUUGUUUGACUAAGGCUCCGGAGGAAGCCACGGCUAACUCUGUGCCAGCAGCCGCGGUAAUACAGAGGCGGCAAGCGUUGUUCGGAAUUAUUGGGCGUAAAGAGCACGUAGGCGGCUGUGUAAGUCGGUUGUGAAAGCCUUCCGCUCAACGGAAGAACGGCAUCCGAUACUGCAUGGCUUGAGUGUGGGAGGGGAGAGUGGAACUUCUGGUGGAGCGGUGAAAUGCGUAGAUAUCAGAAGGAACGCCGGCGGCGAAAGCGGCUCUCUGGCCCAUAACUGACGCUGAGUGUGCGAAAGCUAGGGGAGCAAACGGGAUUAGAUACCCCGGUAGUCCUAGCCGUAAACGAUGGGCACUAAGUAGAGGGGUUUU